GAAUGUCAGGUCCUUCAUUGGCAAUUCGAUGGGUGGUCUCAGAGGUGGUGCCAAUCUCGCUUCUUGGGUCGUCGCUGGAACCGUCGCUUACUUCCUUUGGGUCAAGCCCUCCCAAGACCUCAAACGGGAACAGCAGGAAAGGGCUGCUCUUGCAGCUGUGGAUCCUCAUCGAUAUAUUGAGAAGAGGAAACCUAUUCCUGAUCCCCAGGAAACUGGUUUGAUAUACGGCAACAAGAAUACGCCUCGAAAACCCGAGGAAUAAGCUAUGAAGGAAGGUGAAAACUUUGGAGAAAUGUGACAGAUAGUGCUUUUCACCGAGGUAAAGAAGGGGGUCAGUAAGUAAUGUCGCUAGAAGAAGCUAUAGCCUAAAACUGUGAAGAUUAGAAGAUGAUACAUGAGCAAGUUUGUGUAGUUCAGUAAAGAGGUGUGGCCAAAUG
Molecule: unclassified non-coding RNA, 437 nt
Filed under: Hevea brasiliensis (rubber tree)
Lineage: Eukaryota; Viridiplantae; Streptophyta; Magnoliopsida; Malpighiales; Euphorbiaceae
Source: RNAcentral